RNAcentral lists this ribosomal RNA (269 nucleotides) under uncultured bacterium. Its description in RNAcentral is "partial 16S ribosomal RNA". It matches the Rfam family "Bacterial small subunit ribosomal RNA", at positions 524 to 792 of the family's 1533-position model. The record is from RNAcentral.
UACGGAGGGUGCGAGCGUUGUCCGGAAUCACUGGGCGUAAAGGGCGCGUAGGCGGCGCGGAUAGUCGGCGGUGAAAGCCCGGAGCUCAACUCCGGGUCGGCCGUCGAUACUUCCGGGCUUGAGCACUGUAGAGGCAGAUGGAAUUCCGGGUGUAGCGGUGGAAUGCGUAGAGAUCCGGAAGAACACCGGUGGCGAAGGCGGUCUGCUGGGCAGUUGCUGACGCUGAUGCGCGACAGCGUGGGGAGCAAACGAGGAUUAGAAACCCGGUG